This is a long non-coding RNA of Gasterosteus aculeatus aculeatus (three-spined stickleback), 1797 nucleotides long. Lineage: Eukaryota; Metazoa; Chordata; Actinopteri; Perciformes; Gasterosteidae. The record is from Ensembl.
GAGUCCUGCUGGAGCAGCCGGACUUAAAAAACAUCAAACGUAUUUUUUGAAAGCACACGGGCACCGUGCACGUCUCACACUUUGUCCUUUUUUUAUUUCCGUCUUUCAGUUAAUCUCCUCGACUCCCCCAUUUCUCUUCUCCUCGCUCCUCGCUUCCUUUCUGCCUCCCCUUCUUCCACUAAUCUCUGUCCAUCGUUCUUCCUCGCUUCCCCGCCUUGCAUCCAUCUGUCUUACCCGCUUUCAUCUAUCUGUCCGUCCCCCCCCCCACCGAAUGUCUGUUCUGUUGCUUUACAACCUCGCAGCAAAGCGUUCAGCCUUCCUCCUGCUGUCUCCGUGGCCUGUCCUCAUGACUACUCAUUGCCCCCUCAUCUUUUUCUCUCCACUCUCUUCCUCCCCCAGCUCCCAUCCUCCUCGCGUCUCUUUUCACCUUCUAUUCUCUCAUCCUCCAUUUGCGUUUGUCUUCGUCCAUCCUCGCGUCUCUCUGUCUGACUGACUCCUGACAUGUCCGAGCGUCUCCCUCCCAGUGUGUCUCCGUCCCUUCCCGUCCCCACUCCUCUCGUCAUCCACCUGUGGCAGCAUCAUCAGCUCAGUGUUGCUGGUAUCCAUGGCGACGUCGACGGGCCUCUUGUCGAAACUUGCUGUGGCAGUGGCCGUCCGCGGCCUCCCGGUGCAGCGGCGUCAUCUUCAGCGCGUCUUUGGCGUUAACGUUGGCGCCGCUCUGCGUGGACAGGCGGCACCCCCCGGUGGCGAGACAGGGAACCAGCCGCGAAGGAGCCGGGUGACACAAGGGGGAAGAGUGGUUCACACUCGUGUCGUCAUGGAUUAGCCCAAUGAUUAUUCCAUAAUUAACGCGCCAGUCCGUAGUGAACGGAGCCCCGUUGGCCAUCAGGGCUUUGACAUCGUCAUCCCGUCCCCAUCGCACCGCCUCCAGCAGCUGGUAACCCGAGAUACACCAGAGACAUCUGCCGACAGGAAGGAGGAACGCAGCGCUGAGAGUCACACGGGGAACAUGAGCACAGGCUCAACUGGGUGACUGCAUUGUUGUUUGUGUGGAAUGUAAUAAUAUCCAGAAUACACGGUAUUUCAAAAAUGGUGUGUCUUGUUUAGGCAAUGUGUUGCAUGUCAGACGCUCGUGAUCAUCACGCAUGUUCCAGUGUCUUCAUCCAUUUUGAAGAGGAAAAAUACCCCAAGAUUGUGCUUUUUUAACAUUUCUUCAAACAUGACAAUUUUCUACUUCUGUUUCUAUAUUUGUGUAAAUGGUAAUUCUCUUUGUUUGUGACUGUUAGUUGGACAAAAAAAAAGAUAAAUAACGUAUUAUGCACAAAAAGAAAUUCUGUAGCUAUAUGCUAUGUGUUGGCUGGUUACGGUAGAGGCCUUUUGUUAGAGGAUACAGGUGAACUUAAAAACUGAUAAGAUCCUUCGACGACAACUUGUAAGAUGAUAAAUGAAUGAAAAAGGAUGAAUUUUCCUUCCAAAACACAGCAGAGCAGAAUUAUGAAGCAGCACAUAUUGGAUUACUAAUUUGAGUAAAUUGGUCCCACCUUCCUAAUCACUGUUAUUACUCUUCAUGUGUGAGUAAUUACAGUGGUGAGCCAGCUUUAAUGAGGGGAAUAAGAAGAAGAAAUGACCAGAGGUGUCAAAAGUAUUCACAUUCAUUACUCAAUAGAAGUACAUAUACUAGGGUUUAAAAAGACUCCUGUAGAAGUUUGUAGAAUUACCAACUCAAGAUUUUUACUUAAGUAAACGUAUAAAAGUACUGGUUUCAAAACUACUUAAAGUAUAAAAGUAAUGUAAGAA